UGAGGAAUAUUGGUCAAUGGGCGAGAGCCUGAACCAGCCAAGUAGCGUGCAGGAUGACGGCCCUAUGGGUUGUAAACUGCUUUUAUAUGGGAAUAAAGUGAGGGACGUGUCCCUUAUUGCAUGUACCAUACGAAUAAGGACCGGCUAAUUCCGUGCCAGCAGCCGCGGUAAUACGGAAGGUCCAGGCGUUAUCCGGAUUUAUUGGGUUUAAAGGGAGCGUAGGCUGUUUGUUAAGCGUGUUGUGAAAUGUAAGAGCUCAACUUUUAGAUUGCAGCGCGAACUGGCAGACUUGAGUGCGCACAACGUAGGCGGAAUUCAUGGUGUAGCGGUGAAAUGCUUAGAUAUCAUGACGAACUCCGAUUGCGAUGGCAGCUUACGGGAGCGCAACUGACGCUAAAGCUCGAAGGUGCGGGUAUCGAACAGG
This 424-nucleotide ribosomal RNA is filed under the name Verrucomicrobiota bacterium. RNAcentral describes it as "Verrucomicrobia bacterium partial 16S ribosomal RNA". It matches the Rfam family "Bacterial small subunit ribosomal RNA", at positions 355 to 776 of the family's 1533-position model. Lineage: Bacteria; Pseudomonadati; Verrucomicrobiota. The record is from RNAcentral.